CCCAUUGGUGCUCUGCCCUUCUCUUCUCUGUGCGACCCACCUCCUUCGCUCUUGCACUUAUUCUACCUUCGAUGGCGCUCGCAACGUCUCUUUGCCAUCUAUGGCUUCUCCGCGCCACACCCCUGCCGCCAUCUCUUCUUGCUCCUCCUCCAUCUUUGAUGGAACUUAAAAAAUAUUUAAAAAAAAUUAAAUAAUUUUAAAAUUUUAAAAAAUUGUCGCACCAGUCGUAUAUAAGAAUUUUUAUCCGGCUAAAAUUUGAAUGUUUCGUAUUUAAUUGGAUAGUCAAAAAUAUAUAAAAAAUAAAAAAAAUUAAAAUGCCCUUCCGAGCUUCGUAGCAAAACCCAGUACGUAGUUUAAGAAGGAGAGCGGGGCAUGUUUGUAAUCUAACAUUGAAAUACCGUAAGAUCUGGACCUCAAGCUUUGAGUCGGAGUUCACGCGAAGAAUCCAAACCCUUCCCGUAUUCACGAAGCCACCAUCUCAAGAUUCCCCACGCCUGGAUCCUGCGGCCAUCCCUGUCCCUCAUAAAAUGACCAAACUACCAUCCAACUUUCCACUAUCUCCCUCCUGAAAAUAUAUAAUCAUCCGAAUGUCUAGGGAUAUUUCCGGUACAGGGAACGGUAAACGGGAGGUUGGGAACCACGUGAC
Molecule: long non-coding RNA, 646 nt
Filed under: Elaeis guineensis (African oil palm)
Lineage: Eukaryota; Viridiplantae; Streptophyta; Magnoliopsida; Arecales; Arecaceae
Description: long non-coding RNA (EGUI_LNC000151)
Source: RNAcentral